RNAcentral lists this transfer RNA (19 nucleotides) under Allobates gasconi. RNAcentral's name for it is "partial tRNA-Phe". Lineage: Eukaryota; Metazoa; Chordata; Amphibia; Anura; Aromobatidae. The record is from RNAcentral. RNAcentral also lists the same sequence under 1 other name.
CUAAAAGUUCUCUAACACA